GAGAUGAAUUCCAUCCAUAUGAGACCGUUUUCAUCGCACGGAAAUGCUCAUCAUGGUACUCGAAACUUGAAUUUUGGUGCUGGAUAUGCUCCACGGCUUUCUGGGGGUGGCAGGUUCUUGGAAAAUGGAAGCUCAAUUGAAGAUUCUCGCUUCUUUGGUGAGCAACCCCCUCUUCCUGCUUCUCCACCACCGCCUAUGCCUUGGGAAGCACACUUGCACGGUUCAGCAGAGUCUAUGGCCUAUUCUUCUCAAGCAAAACCUUCAUCCCUGUUUCCUGUUCCUGUUAGUACCUUAACAAU
This 299-nucleotide unclassified non-coding RNA is filed under the name Hevea brasiliensis (rubber tree). Lineage: Eukaryota; Viridiplantae; Streptophyta; Magnoliopsida; Malpighiales; Euphorbiaceae. The record is from RNAcentral.